RNAcentral lists this ribosomal RNA (961 nucleotides) under Alexandrium fundyense. Its description in RNAcentral is "LSU rRNA". It matches the Rfam family "Eukaryotic large subunit ribosomal RNA", at positions 1 to 912 of the family's 3401-position model. The record is from RNAcentral. Lineage: Eukaryota; Dinophyceae; Gonyaulacales; Pyrocystaceae.
GCUUAGCAUGAAGUGAAGCACAUACACCUGCUGAAUUUAAGCAUAUAAGUAAGUGGUGGAAAUUAAACCAAAUGGGAUAUCUUUAGUAAUUGCGAAUGAACAAGGAUAUGCUUAGCUUGACAAAUGGAGCUAUUGGCUUUGAAUUGUAUUUGUGGAAUGUAUUACCAACAGAGGUGCAGGUGCCAGCCUAUUAAAUAAAGCGUCAAUGAGGGUGAGAAUCCUGUUUGUCAUGUGCAGCCCUUUGUGCACGGUGUAUAUUUGCUGAGUCACACUCCUUGGCAUUGGAAUGCAAAGUGGGUGGUAAGUUUCAUGUAAAGGUAAACAUGCAAUUGAGACUGAUAGCACACAAGUACCAUGAGGGAAAUAUGAAAAGGACUUUGAAAAGAGAAUUAAAUGAGUUUGUAUUUGCUGAACACAAAGUAAACAGACUUGAUUUGCUUGGUGGGAGUGUUGCACUUGCUUGACAAGAGCUUUGGGCUGUGGGUGUAAUGAUUCUUUCUUUGCAUGCCAGUUUCUAUUUGUACAUCUGAUUACCUUUGCACAUGAAUGAUAAGUCUCCUGUGGGGGGUGGAUUGCAUGUGCAUGUAAUGAUUUGUGUUUUGAUAAAUGUGUCUGGUGUAUGUGUGUGUUCCUGUGCUUGGGGAUGCUUCCUUCCUUGGACUUACAAGCCCUGACACACACAUGCUGGCAAAAUGCUUCUGCUUGACCCGUCUUGAAACACGGACCAAGGAGUCUAACAGAUGUGCAAAGUUUGAAGGUGGUAUACCUUUGUGUGCAAUGAAAGUGUCAGCUGGGAUAUGUGCACCAGCACCCAAUUAAUUAGCGGACAGAGGUUUGAGUUGGAGCAUAUCUAUUAGGACCCGAAAGAUGGUGAACUAUGCCUGAACAGAAUGAAUUCAGAGGAAACUCUGAUGGAGGUUCGUAUCGAUACUGACGUGCAAAUCGUUCGUAAGGGCGAAUU